Molecule: ribosomal RNA, 490 nt
Filed under: uncultured bacterium
Lineage: Bacteria
Description: partial 16S ribosomal RNA
Rfam family: Bacterial small subunit ribosomal RNA
Source: RNAcentral
GAUGAACGCUAGCGCUAUGCUUAACACAUGCAAGUCGAGGGGCAGCAUGGUCUUAUCUUUCUAAUACUGUUGGCGACCGGCGCACGGGUACGUAACGCAUAUGCAACUUACCUCACAGAGGUGGAUAACCCGUCGAAAGGCUGACUACUACCGCGUACACUCCAUCUUUGGCAUCCCAGUUAAAGAAAAUGAAAUUCUCUGUUAUAUAGGCAUGCGUCCCAUUUGCUAUUUGGUGAGGUAUCGGGUCACCAAGGGGACGAUGUGUAGGUGAAAUGAGAGGGUGAAACACUACAACGGUAAUGAGACACGGACCAGAAUGCUACGCGACGCAGCAGUGAGGAAUAUUGGGCAAUGGGCGCGAGCCUGACAAAGCCAAGUCGGGUGAAAGAGGACUGUCUUAGGAAUUCUAAACUUCUUUGAAACGGGAAUAACAAGAGUAACGAGUCACUCCUUGACUGUACCGAAUCAAUAAGCAACGGCUAACUCCGUG